RNAcentral lists this ribosomal RNA (271 nucleotides) under uncultured archaeon. Its description in RNAcentral is "partial 16S ribosomal RNA". It matches the Rfam family "Archaeal small subunit ribosomal RNA", at positions 654 to 922 of the family's 1478-position model. The record is from RNAcentral.
GAACCACCAGUGGGGAAGGCUGUUUGGGCUAGAACAUGCCCGACGUUGAGGGAUGAAAGCUGGGGGAGCGAACCGGAUUAGAUACCCGGGUAGUCCCAGCUGUAAACGAUGCAGGCUAAGUGUUAGGGCGGCCACGUGCCGCUCUAGUGCCGCAGGGAAGCUGUUAAGCCUGCCGCCUGGGGAGUACGGCCGCAAGGCUGAAACUUAAAGGAAUUGGCGGGGGAGCACCACAAGGGGUGAAGCUUGCGGUUUAAUUGGAUUCAACGCCGGA